AUCUUUUUAGUAUAAAAAAUAUAUUUGACUUCCAAUCAAAAGAUCUUAAAUAAAGAAAAGAUA
RNAcentral lists this transfer RNA (63 nucleotides) under Carbula sinica. RNAcentral's name for it is "tRNA-Gly". Lineage: Eukaryota; Metazoa; Arthropoda; Insecta; Hemiptera; Pentatomidae. The record is from RNAcentral.